RNAcentral lists this ribosomal RNA (633 nucleotides) under uncultured bacterium. Its description in RNAcentral is "bacterial SSU rRNA". The stretch from base 1 to 540 matches the Rfam family "Bacterial small subunit ribosomal RNA", at positions 338 to 873 of the family's 1533-position model. The record is from RNAcentral.
CCUACGGGAGGCAGCAGUAAGGAAUAUUGGUCAAUGGACGCAAGUCUGAACCAGCCAUGCCGCGUGGAGGAUGAAGGUCCUCUGGAUUGUAAACUUCUUUUAUUUGGGAAGAAACCCACGAUUUCUAUUGUGGUUGACGGUACCAGAUGAAUAAGCACCGGCUAACUCCGUGCCAGCAGCCGCGGUAAUACGGAGGGUGCAAGCGUUAUCCGGAUUCACUGGGUUUAAAGGGUGCGUAGGCGGGCAGGUAAGUCAGUGGUGAAAUCUCCGAGCUUAACUUGGAAACUGCCGUUGAUACUAUCUGUCUUGAAUGCUGUGGAGGUAAGCGGAAUAUGUCAUGUAGCGGUGAAAUGCUUAGAUAUGACAUAGAACACCUAUUGCGAAGGCGGCUUGCUACACAGAAAUUGACGCUGAGGCACGAAAGCGUGGGGAUCAAACAGGAUUAGAUACCCUGGUAGUCCACGCCCUAAACGAUGGAUACUCGACAUCAGCGAUACACAGUUGGUGUCGUGAGAGAAGACGAUUAAGUAGUAACCUACCGUACGGUUAAGGUUACGUACCGACGAGGUUAGAACGUUACGAAGUAGAGUUAGACGGACGNGAGAGNGCGACGGACGACGACGAGGGAGGAGG